CCUACGGGUGGCAGCAAUUAGGAAUCUUUCGCAAUGGGGGCAACCCUGACGGAGCGACGCCGCGUGCAGGAGGAAGGCUUUCGGGUCGUAAACUGCUUUUAUCUGUGACGAUUAUGACGGUAGCAGAAGAAUAAGGGCCUGCUAACUACGUGCCAGCAGCCGCGGUCAUACGUAGGGCCCAAGCGUUAUCCGGAAUUACUGGGCGUAAAGAGUUGCGUAGGUGGCAUAGUAAGCAGAUAGUGAAAGCGUGCGGCUCAACCGCAUACCCGCUAUCUGAACUGCUAAGCUAGAGCAUAGGAGAGGUAGCUGGAAUUCCCGGUGUAGGAGUGAAAUCCGUAGAUAUCGGGAGGAACACCGAUGGCGUAGGCAGGCUACUGGCCUAUUGCUGACACUAAGGCACGAAAGCGUGGGGAGCGAACGGGAUUAGAUACCCUUGUAGU
Molecule: ribosomal RNA, 440 nt
Filed under: uncultured bacterium
Lineage: Bacteria
Description: bacterial SSU rRNA
Rfam family: Bacterial small subunit ribosomal RNA
Source: RNAcentral